AGAGUACUUACUGACAAAAUUAUUUUUUGUACAUUCCAGAACCCCCUGAAUGAUGUAGGCUAUGGGGCCACAUAAGACUUUGUGCAUCCAGGGUUACAUAGCACGACAACUUUAAACUAAAGAACCCCCUGAAUGAUGUAGGCUAUGGGGCCACAUAAGACUUUGUGCAUCCAGGGUUACAUAGCAUGACAACUUUAAACUAAAAAGCUACCAGACUGGGAUUUUAGUGUACUCCAGGAUCUACCAAAGGAUUACUACAUACAUACUACGUAGUGUACAGUGCAUAAUAUAGUGUUUAGUGUAUAAUCUAACCUAAGGAUUAAGUGUAGUACAUUGUGCUUUAUAGUGU
This is a long non-coding RNA of Macrobrachium nipponense, 349 nucleotides long. RefSeq lists it as uncharacterized. NCBI's taxonomy places the organism in Eukaryota, Metazoa, Arthropoda, Malacostraca, Decapoda, Palaemonidae. The transcript is spliced from 3 exons. The record is from RefSeq and is a predicted model, not a curated record.